This is a non-coding RNA of Phalacrocorax carbo (great cormorant), 2115 nucleotides long. NCBI's taxonomy places the organism in Eukaryota, Metazoa, Chordata, Aves, Suliformes, Phalacrocoracidae. The record is from RefSeq and is a predicted model, not a curated record.
CUAUGUCUUUUUUAUAUUAUUUCACUGAGAUAUGCUUUACAGUGGGACUCACAUAACACGGGGGCUAAGCCUUCACUGGGUCAGAUGAAGUGGGUAAGUCAGCCCGUACCUAACACCUGGCUUUUGCCACAUUACUUGUAAAGCAGUGGUACUAAUUUUUUUUCCCCCCAGAUUAGUGCUUCAGCAUCUUUCCUGCUCCCUAAGUCCUAGGGUCCACAAGACAGAAAAAAGCACCGUUGCUUGGGGAAUGCAGAUGGUGCUGAGAGUAAUGGCGGUGCUUAAGAGUCCCUUCUCUCCUUUUAAACCAUCCAGUAACCCACAGCCGCAUCUUUUCUGUCUGUGCUGAGGGUACUAGGAAGAGCUACUUGUCCUGGUUUCUGAGACAGACCUUUGCCCACUGGAAAAAUGGUGGAAAGUACCAAAUAAUUUCAUUUGUAUGACUAAAGAAAAGUCACAGUUUACUUGGGUGGGGCUCAAAUCAGCUUUCUUUUAGUUGCACACAUUGUCAGAAGUAUUCAAGAGUUAACUAUGCUUCAGAUAAAAAUUAUCUAUUUUUAUAGUAUUAGCAUGUCAUUAUAUGAUCUUUCUACUCUUCAAUUAAUGAAUUUGGUGAAACUUUUAUCCUAAUCUAUAUAUUUAUUGUAUAAUUAAUUGUCUUGUUGAAUUUUUGUAUUCACAUUUUGUAAAUGUUUUAUUUCUGAUCAGUUCUGUCAUUGGUGAGGAUUAUGUGACAUAAGUGUAUUUGACAUCCUUUCUGAAAAUAGGAAGUCUUCCUUUAAGAAAUAGCAACUAUCCAACUCUCUUUUAUUAUCUCUUAUACAAGGUGCAGACAACCGAUGGGGUUUUAAGACUGUUUAUGAAUUACAAAAUCAAGAAUUGACCUCUUGCUAUAUGCAGGGAAGAAGGAAUAUGUUUUAUUUUUAAUAUAACAUAAGCUUUAUUGUGUUGUCCUCUGACUUUAGUAAUGCACAGGGGAGAAAAGGUCUCCUUUCUGAUCAUUCAGACAUGUAAGAUAACGUGGUAAACUUUGAGUAGAAUUACUACUGCUCUGUGUUAGAAGAUUUCAUGAACAUUGCCUUUCACCAUUUGCUGAUUUAUAAAGCUGCAUGAAGAGGAAAAAUGAACCAGAUUUUCAACUGCUGCAAAUCGUGCAGCUGUUUCAAUAGGCCAGUUUCUAACCAAAAGUCAAGAAUCACAAUAACUAGACUGUAAAUACCAAUGGCCUCCAGAAAACUACAUCCUUACUCCUCUGUUGACUUGCAAAGACUUGUAGGGUAAGAUAAUGCUAUGUGUAUAGCACCUACAAGAAGAUUUUAUGUGGUAGUUCAAUAGCUUUAGCUGGAUUGCAGCUGAGCACUCAAAUGACAUUUUUUUCAGACAUUGUGGAUAGAAGAAAAAUAAUUUUUUCACAGGGAGGGUGGGUAAGCACUAGACCACAUUGGCCAGAGAGGCUGCGGUGCCUUCAUCUUUGCAGAUAUUGCCUGGACAUAACUCUGAGCAGCCUCAUCCAGCUUAGGAGCUGGCCAUGCUUUUUACGGUAGUUUGGACCAAAGACCACUGAGGGUCCUUUUCAGUCUGAUAUUUUCUGAAGCCUACAGCCAGAUGCUUUAUUUUGUAUAUGUAACUGACAGGUAAUUUAAUGUUUUGAAUGUUGGGUAUUUUUAUUAUAUCUAGAAGCUGGUAGGAAUUUCCCUGAAUCAUGAUUAAGUAAUGAUAAGAAAUCUUCUGUAGUUCCUAUUGAGAAGAGAAACUGACUCGGUCAAUUGGCAAGCAACAGAUUUUAAAGGCUGAACAAAUAACUUACAUCUAAUAAUCUGUACUGAUUUUGCUUCAGUAUUUUGAUCAGGAGCUAGACUGUGAUUCUCGUUUAUUUUUUUAUUCUGUAUUUGCUGAGGUUAGAACCUGGAUGACAGUCCUGCAAUAUUCAGUGAGGAUUUGUUACAGCAUCCUCUUAAGCCUUUUGAGGUCAUAGACAUGGAUUUUAGUUCCUUGAAAAACAGAACCCCAUCAGUAAAGGUGUGAAAAACUGUAGUUUUACGUAACAAAAAUGUCCAAAACUUGCACGUCUACCAACAGAAAACAAACGAUGGACCUAGGUAUCGUAAACAUGAAAAA